Molecule: ribosomal RNA, 452 nt
Filed under: uncultured bacterium
Lineage: Bacteria
Description: bacterial SSU rRNA
Rfam family: Bacterial small subunit ribosomal RNA
Source: RNAcentral
CUGGCUCAGAACGAACGCUGGCGGCAGGCUUAACACAUGCAAGUCGAACGCACCGCAAGGUGAGUGGCAGACGGGUGAGUAACGCGUGGGAACCUUCCCUUUGGUACGGAAUAACUUCGGGAAACCGAAGCUAAUACCGUAUAUCUCCUGUGGGAGAAAGAUUUAUCGCCAAAGGAUGGGCCCGCGUUGGAUUAGCUAGUUGGUAGGGUAAAAGCCUACCAAGGCGACGAUCCAUAGCUGGUCUGAGAGGAUGAUCAGCCACACUGGGACUGAGACACGGCCCAGACUCCUACGGGAGGCAGCAGUGGGGAAUAUUGGACAAUGGGCGCAAGCCUGAUCCCAGCCAUGCCGCGUGAGUGAAGAAGGCCUUAGGGUUGUAAAGCUCUUUUGGCGGGGACGAUAAUGACGGUACCCGCAGAAUAAGCCCCGGCUAACUUCGUGCCAGCAGCAGC